This 321-nucleotide ribosomal RNA is filed under the name uncultured bacterium. RNAcentral's name for it is "bacterial SSU rRNA". It matches the Rfam family "Bacterial small subunit ribosomal RNA", at positions 29 to 342 of the family's 1533-position model. The record is from RNAcentral.
AAUGAACGCUGGCGGCGCGCCUAAUACAUGCAAGUCGAGCGAGAAGACGUAGCAAUACGUUUGUAAAGCGGCGAACGGGUGAGGAAUACAUGGGUAACCUACCCUAGAGUGGGGAAUAACUAGCCGAAAGGUUAGCUAAUACCGCGUACGCUCCUUGGACUUCGGUUCAGGGAGGAAAGCGAUGCCGAGGGUAUCGCGCUCUUGGAUGGGCUCAUGUCCUAUCAGCUUGNGGUGAGUAACGGCUCACCAAGGCUUCGACGGGUAGCUGGUCUGAGAGGACGAUCAGCCACACUGGCACUGCGACACGGGCCAGACUCCUAC